Molecule: ribosomal RNA, 503 nt
Filed under: uncultured bacterium
Lineage: Bacteria
Description: partial 16S ribosomal RNA
Rfam family: Bacterial small subunit ribosomal RNA
Source: RNAcentral
AUUGAACGCUGGCGGCAGGCUUAACACAUGCAAGUCGAGCGGGGUGAUGGUGCUUGCGCUAUCACUUAGCGGCGGACGGGUGAGUAAUGCUUAGGAAUCUGCCUAUUAGUGGGGGACAACAUCUCGAAAGGGAUGCUAAUACCGCAUACGUCCUACGGGAGAAAGCAGGGGAUCACUUGUGACCUUGCGCUAAUAGAUGAGCCUAAGUCGGAUUAGCUAGUUGGUGGGGUAAAGGCCUACCAAGGCGACGAUUUGUAGCGGGUCUGAGAGGAUGAUCCGCCACACUGGGACUGAGACACGGCCCAGACUCCUACGGGAGGCAGCAGUGGGGAAUAUUGGACAAUGGGGGGAACCCUGAUCCAGCCAUGCCGCGUGUGUGAAGAAGGCCUUAUGGUUGUAAAGCACUUUAAGCGAGGAGGAGGCUCUUUUGGUUAAUACCCAAGAUGAGUGGACGUUACUCGCAGAAUAAGCACCGGCUAACUCUGUGCCAGCAGCCGCCGUAA